Molecule: small RNA, 251 nt
Filed under: Enterobacter cloacae
Lineage: Bacteria; Pseudomonadati; Pseudomonadota; Gammaproteobacteria; Enterobacterales; Enterobacteriaceae
Description: Erse small RNA
Rfam family: Erse small RNA
Source: RNAcentral
CGGCGGAACUGCUUGCCCCAUUUAUUGGCGACAUUGCAGCGGAAGGGAUCGGCAAAGCCCUGCAUGGUGGUACCGCCUUCCUGCGUAAAAGCUUGCAACGUCAGCAGCGCUAUGCGGCAGAAGUGCUGACUGAAGAGUGGCGUAUGGCCCCCGGACCGCUGGAAGUGGCCUGGUUCGCGGAAGAGACUGCGGCUGUUGAACGUGCGGUUGAUGCGUUAACCAAACGGCUGGAAAAACUGGAGGGCAAAUGA